GAAGUGAGAGAGUUAGUUGGUGAGUUAGGGGCGUUUUUUUUAGUUGGUGAGUUUUCUUUUUGUAAGUCAGAGAGUUAGAGCUCGGAAGAGGACAGUGGCGACAGAGGGAAGGUAGCUGCCGCGGCGGCGUAUGAGGAUAGGGGAGGUGACGCAACCGGCCGGGGAGGAGAGGAGCGGUAGAGAGGAGGUACAACGCGCGGCUCGGGCAGUAGGGAAGGGUACAACAUGAGCCGGCGUAGAAGGACCGAGCUAACCAAGCUAGACGACGGUAGGUGAUGGGCAGUCCAAUAAGGCCGCCACGCCGCCGCCGCUUCGAACCGCGCUGCUACCUCGGACGGACAGACCGCUACCCCACCCUCAGCCUAUCCGCGCGCCGCCACUAACACGUCAGUGCCUCUGUCGAGACGUCAGGGCUACCACAGCGACGACGCCACCAAGGUAAGGCCGCCGUAGCAGCCGGGCAAGUUUUGUCCCGAGCACGUACCCCACCGGGCGGGUAGUUCUGUCUCCGUACCGGCCUGUAGCAAUAGCGAGUUUAUAGUCACGCAAAGAGCGUUACCUAAUGACCCUUCUACUUCGUUACCGGGAGAAGGGAGAGGCAGUUAUGUCAAAAUGUCCGAUUAGUCGACCGUGGAAUCUUUCCAUGUGUCGGUACAUGCAUAGGCACUUAGACUUCGGAAAGUCCACAUGUCCCACAUGUGCAAGACUUAAAGUGUUUCGAUGAUGAUUAACGACAACCAUUUUUGUUUGACCCGAUACGUACAGUGAGUCGCUCAAAGGAGAACAUGUAUCUUUGUAGUGUUGAUGACUGUUUACGUAACAUAACAAUAAGAUUCGCACAAAACCACUUUAUAAAAUUAGAACCGAGUAUCUUUAGGUGAUGACGAAUUCAAUUAGGUGAUGUAGGUAUAGACUAUAACUGGUUGAUGUAGGACUAGAUUAUGUCCGUUUUAGUCCCUGGCUUCCUAGUAGAGAAUGGUUACGUAUUGGACAUCUUGAGAUAAUGAUGUAUUCGACUAGUUGAUGUAGGAACACAUUAUGUUCUAUUAUUUAGUAUUUAGUCACCUGGUAUACAAGGGCUACGCUUACGGAGGAAAACGCAACAGGCAAACUAGUAAUCAUAAAUAAAGGUAGUAAUACGAUCGUUAGUACAAAACCUUAACGGUUGACGUCAUGACGAGGCGGAUGUAGCAUUAUAUGUUACGGAGCGGAUAUUUCAAACUUCUUAGAAUUUUAUAAACAAUAUGAUAUAAUGUGAUGUACUAUCUAGACGACGUCUCUCCAAUAGUGAGAAGAUGCGACUCGUACGGCUGUCCUCGAAGAAGUUGUCAGGCCACUUCGUGUGGUAAAACCUAGUUGAGGAGUGUAUCUGGGCGUAACUCCCUCCUCCUGCCUCUCCGGCUGUUGUUCCUCGCCCACACCCACAAGUAGGAGCGACGACUGGUGUUCACGACGCUCUUUAAAACCCUUCUUAAGAUACGGAGGUGACCGGUGUCAUCCAUGCCCGCCCACACCGAUACUUCUUCAAGGGCCUCCGUCGCCUGACCUUUAGCCCACACUCGCCGGCUUCUCCGACCCUGGCCGCUCACCGUCGUCGACCGACCUCCGCCGCCCUCCUCGGGCCAUCUUCUUUCGUCCAUUCAUCGCCGCCGGAUGUACAGAUACCAAACCAUGUACGGCGGUAGAUUUGUGAAUGUUACUUGUAGUUACAAAGGCUCGAAACGAACAACUCGGACAGCAACGGUACAUUCGGUCGGUGGUUCACAAGUCUUUUAUAGACUUCAAUAUAAGAUGUCAUCUUAGAUUAGUGGAAUAACAGCAACAAAAGACACAGUCAGUAAUAAACCUAUUGUGGGAUAACAUCUUAGAGCCACUACAAUCCUGUAACGUUCGUAAUAAACUUGAACUUCGCGAAGAAGAAUGUUCAUACUAGUAAAAUAUUAGCAAAGAAACCAACACCACCUAAUAAAUCACUUGUAUUAAGGAAAAAAUCCAGUAACGUACUUUUUAUUCUUAUGAAUAUAGUGACUUAAAGACCACCAAAAGAAACCUUCAAUCAAGUCAAUCCGCGAAGAUUGACGAAUUCGAGUUAAAUAGAGGUCAACGGGAAUUAAUGGUCUACAACCCAUAAAAGAAGGUACUUUGACGAGAAGUCAAACUAUAUUAGACGUCCUCGUUAGGUCCUCGUACCACACAGUGGAUACAGGAUUAGUUCACACACUAGAGGAUCACGGAUGACUUAAUAUUGCUCAAAACUUGAAACAACUGAAUAAAAGGAAUAGGACGAACAAUCCAAAAGUACAGUAAGACGUGCGACGAGUAUUACACGUAAAGAACAAUAAACGAUCACCAACAUGACAUGUUUCGAACCAGACAAUAACUUUGUGUAUUCACGCCGUCGUUUAAGUAUCACAUGUAAACAACAAUAAACGAUUACCAACAUGAUUUGUUUCGUACUAGCUUUGUGUAGGAAAUACAAUACAGGUUUUAAUCGAAUAAUCAGGAAAAAUCACCCCGUUUGAAUAUAUACAGUUAAAAAGGAGGUCGACACAUAAUGUAUAACACUAUUAACAUGUUUCCGACGGUAUUUUCUAUGCGUACAGAAGUCUAGUCGUUAUACGGUCCGUUUAUUACCAGCUUUGUGUAUGGAAUUAAAGACGAGACACAAGUCCGGGAUCGUCUCGAACUUGGAAUAAGUCGUUUAUUACCAGUGACUCAGAACCAGCAGUGACCUGGUGUUAAGAACUGUAUGAAGGUACCUGCGACCUUCAUUGUACUCGAUGUCUAUACGUAGAGUUACCCCCCAAUGAAGAAAGGAGUUGUUCAAUGUCAUGUCAUCCUCUCCCGUUACUACGACUGGACACUGAACUGGAAGGUACCUUUUGAGACCGAACUGCACUCCCCCAGCAGCGAAGGUCUCUAGCAGCGGCCAGGCCAUCAGCGAAAUUCUCUAGCAGAGAGCCAGACCAGCAGCGAAGGUCUCUAGCAGCGGGCCGGACCAGCAGUGAAGGUCCCUACCCCUACGGAAGUGGUUUACUCCGUUUUAGACCGAGCGUCUAUACACAGCAGGUAACCCUUCCAAAGCCAACAUAUGUACCUUUCUUAGGUUGAACUAUACACCUUCCAGAUCCGACAUAUGUGCCUUUCUGAUGUUGCACUAGUACUUAACACUAUACUAAAGACGAUAUGUACCUUAUGUACAAUACAUGUUUUCCUUUUUCUCAGGCAACAAUACAUUUCCUUUUCUUACAUUAAAUACCUCAAGGGUUAAUCCUCAUCUUCUAAUACCUUCGAUAAUAAACCUUUCCUAGGGUAACAAAGCUUUAAAAUAACACGUUCCCUCCACACCGUACCUUUCCUACGGUAGCAAA
Molecule: ribosomal RNA, 3371 nt
Filed under: Triticum aestivum (bread wheat)
Lineage: Eukaryota; Viridiplantae; Streptophyta; Magnoliopsida; Poales; Poaceae
Description: partial small subunit ribosomal RNA
Source: RNAcentral